Molecule: ribosomal RNA, 377 nt
Filed under: uncultured bacterium
Lineage: Bacteria
Description: bacterial SSU rRNA
Rfam family: Bacterial small subunit ribosomal RNA
Source: RNAcentral
AUUGAACGCUGGCGGCAUGCCUAACACAUGCAAGUCGAACGGUAACAGGCCCUUCGGGGCGCUGACGAGUGGCGGACGGGUGAGUAAUGCUUAGGAAUCUGCCUAGUAGUGGGGGAUAACCCGGGGAAACUCGGGCUAAUACCGCAUACGUCCUACGGGAGAAAGCGGGGGACCUUCGGGCCUCGCGCUAUUAGAUGAGCCUAAGUCCGAUUAGCUAGUUGGUAGGGUAACGGCCUACCAAGGCGACGANCGGUAGCUGGUCUGAGAGGACGACCAGCCACACUGGGACUGAGACACGGCCCAGACUCCUACGGGAGGCAGCAGUGGGGAAUAUUGGACAAUGGGCGCAAGCCUGAUCCAGCGAUGCCGCGUGUGUG